AAUUUAUUACAUUAUACGGCAGCGGUCGGCAACACGCGGCCCGCGAACGUCUUACUUGCGGCCCGUGAAUGUGUU
Long non-coding RNA from Aricia agestis (brown argus), 75 nucleotides. RefSeq lists it as uncharacterized. The record is from RefSeq and is a predicted model, not a curated record. The transcript is spliced from 3 exons. NCBI's taxonomy places the organism in Eukaryota, Metazoa, Arthropoda, Insecta, Lepidoptera, Lycaenidae.